AACCAAGAGUAGAGACGCUGAUGAAUCAAGAACAACCUUCGCAGCUCAUUUCCCUUCAAUCUUGAAUUUUUUUUUUCCUGGCCCUAAGAGUCUCCUGUUGAAAUGCAGGUGCCCAGGAGGGUACAGUGUCUCUGCCUCCUGAGUCUCCCUACUACUCAUAGGACAAGAUUCAGGCGAUGCAGUGGAAAAUGGCUUCCUUCCUGCUGGGAUGUGAUCCCCCAGGGCCAGAGAAGUUUAAAAAUUAAUGGAGGCUUUACCCCACCUGUGCUGUGAUCUCAGGCAACCCCCACCUCCCCAGGGCAACUGUGCACGCCUUACUGGCUGUUUCCAUGCUUUAUGGUAGCUGACGUUAUGUCUUCCUGCUGGCAUGAUUUGUACUCUGAUGGUUAUCCAACUUGGCAUAACCAACCUCUAAACGACCCGUCCUUCAUCACAGCCGCCAAUUUGCCCAGAGCCAUUUGUCCAGGCUGCAGCCUCUUGGCUUCUUGUGACAUGACUCCCGUGAGCCGACUGGGGAGCCAAAAGACAUAAUAUGUCACAUCCACAGUUUGAGCAAAGGUCACCUCUUCUCUGUGGCAACAGAAUGUCUGCCCUAGAGAGACAAAUUGAUGACCACUUCAUCAUUCUCGAUGGUGAAAGCCAGUCAACUUUCUUUUCCUGUAGUGUUUGGCCAUAGAACAAAGCCAGAGCCUGGAAGGAAAAGCCAGAAGAUCUCAGACACCCAAGGGAGACUUGGCAUUGGCAGUGGCUGAGUGGCACGUGGCUCCUGAGGAGUUAAGAUCACCUGCACACCCUAGCCUGGAAUCCCGAGAUACAGGCUGCUUUCAUGCUUUUGAAGGGCACUGAGCCUACUGAGCAUCCCUCUCAGAGGCUUCCUGGGCUUUUGUAUGGUAUUUGCACCUGGAGUUUGACUGUGAAUGUAUCUAUUGCUGUGCAACAAAUUACCCCAAAUAAUUACCCAAAUUAUUGUUUGGUAGCCUAAAACAAUAAACACUCUUAUGGUCAGGAACCCAGGCACAGCUUAGUUAAGGACUUCACCUCACAAAGCUGUAAUCAAAAUAUCAACUGGAGCUAUGACCUCAUCUUAAGUCUCAUCUGCUUCCACACUCAUGUGAUUGUUGGCAGGAUUUCUUUCCUCAUGGGCCACUGGACUGAAGUCCUUAGCUCUUCACUGGCUGUUUGCUGGUUCCUGGCCUCAUGGGCCUCUUCACAGGGCAGCCAGCUUCUAUGAGAGAGAGCAAGUGACUAGGCAGCAGAGGGGCACAGAGUGACAUCCCUUCACUCUUGCUGCAUCCUGUGCCAGCCAGUGGGUCCAGAUCACACUCAAGGGGAAGGAAUUACACCAAGCAUGAGUGCCAGGCAGCAAGGGUCACUGAGAGCCAUCCAAGAAAGUACCCACCACAAUAGGAGUUUGGGGAAAUUCUGUUCAUGUUUUCCUCAUGUGUUGUGUUUCUGAACCCAAUUUCUUGUGCUUCUAUCUUCACAUUGCAAGCAUACAGUUGCCUAACACCAGUGGUUCUUAACCUGAAAUCCAUGAGCAAUGGCGGAAGUUUCUAGAAAUCUCCUGAAAUUGUGGGUCAUAUGUUGUAUGUAUGUAGAUGUUGCUGGGAAGUGGAUCUGUAGUUUUCAUUAGAUUCCUAAGUGGAAUCAAGAAUCCAAAAAAACAGCCACUCCCCCUAAUCUUUGUGAGACAUCUGUGUUCUCCAAAAGAUGUCCGAUGCUGUUGAAGGGCCAGUAGAGGACAUGGCUAGCCACAUAGCAGGUCAGAGCUGGCAGUACCUGGCUGGCCUGCUCAGGGGUCAUCUUAUUGAACAGGUAGAGAAACAGAGGCCUGUGGAAGGGAGAGGGGCAGGUAAAGGGACUAGGCUAGGGUCACAGGGGUCCUGACAGGUUUGGAGGCCAGAGCCUGUUCCAUUUUUGCUAGGCUGCUCUUAUUGCUACUGAUCCCACUAAGGACUUUAUGCAUUUAGAUGGCCAUCCAUGUGUUUAGAUGGCUGUCCAACAAACAUGGAUUUUUGCCAGCAAACUGGUAUUAAUGUUGCUUCAACACAGUAUCCUGACAUAUAAAAUCCAUUCUCAACUCUUUGUUUACACUUUGUUUUUCCUCUGAUUUUUUUUUUUUUUGACAAAUCUUGCUUUAUUUCUACUUAUAAUAGCCAUUCACUCUCCAUAGGACAGGAAAUGAAAAGUAGCCACUUGGAAACUCACACAGUUUACAGUAGAGAAAAAGAGGGGUUAGAGAUAGGGUUAGAGAUAACUGCUGGGGUCCUUGAUGAAGUCACUUUGGCAAAGGCAGCCCCACUAAUCGAACCAAGUCAGGGAAUGUAUUGCCCCAGUCAAGAGUUUGUCUGGGGAGUUCCCGUCCUGUUUCAGCAGAAAAGAAAUCUGCCUAGGAUCCAUGAGGGUGCAGGUUUGAUCCCUGGCCUCACUCAGUGGGUUAAGGAUCCAGCAUUGCUGUGAGCUGUGGUGUAGGUCAAGACUCGGCUUGGAUCAUAUCGCUGUGGCUGUGACGUAGGCCAGCAGCUGCACGUCUGAUUCGACCCCCAGCCUGGGAACUUCCAUAUGUGGCAGGUUCGGCCCUAAAAAACAAAACAAAAAACAAAAUGAAAGAGUUUGUCUGGCUUUGACUGCGCCCUCCACACACUUAAGGUACAUGGCUGUGGGUGAGUCACUUAACCUCCCUGGGCCUCAAUUUCCCUGUCUGCAAAGUGAGGAUAACAGUAGGGUCCCAACCCCUUGGCCCAGGGCACUGGGAAGCAUUAGAAUAGGCCCAGAGUAAGCCCUAGAAAAACAGGGAUUGGCAAUGUUGUUAACAGAGCAGGACCCUACAGGGCCUUCCCAGAACAGUCCUGCACAAAUGUCCUCUGCCUGCUUUUUGUCUGAGGAAAACCUUAGUCAAAGAUUAAAUUCAUGGAGUUUCCGUUGUGGCUCAGUGGGUUAAGAACCCAGUUAGUACCCAUGAGGAUGUGGUUUCAUCCCUGGCCUCACUCAGUGGGUUAAAGGAGCUGGCAUUGCCUCGAGCUGUGGUGUAGGUCACAGACGCAGCUCGGAUCCCAUGUUCCUGUGGCUGUGGUGUAGGCCGGCAGCUGUAGCUGUAAACUUCCAUGUGCUGCAUGUGUGGC
This 3122-nucleotide long non-coding RNA is filed under the name Sus scrofa (pig). RNAcentral's name for it is "lncRNA (ENSSSCG00000056879.1)". The record is from RNAcentral. Lineage: Eukaryota; Metazoa; Chordata; Mammalia; Artiodactyla; Suidae.